RNAcentral lists this ribosomal RNA (185 nucleotides) under uncultured bacterium. RNAcentral describes it as "partial 16S ribosomal RNA". It matches the Rfam family "Bacterial small subunit ribosomal RNA", at positions 1316 to 1500 of the family's 1533-position model. The record is from RNAcentral.
ACACAUGAAGCUGGAAUCGCUAGUAAUCGCAGAUCAGAAUGCUGCGGUGAAUACGUUCCCGGGUCUUGUACACACCGCCCGUCACACCAUGGGAGUCGGAAAUGCCCGAAGCCGGUGACCCAACCAAAAGGAGGGAGCCGUCGAAGGCAGGUCUGAUAACUGGGGUGAAGUCGUAACAAGGUAAC